CAGCCGCCGCGGUAAUACGUAGGUGGCAAGCGUUGUCCGGAAUUAUUGGGCGUAAAGGGCUCGCAGGCGGUUUCUUAAGUCUGAUGUGAAAGCCCCGGCUCAACCGGGGAGGGUCAUUGGAAACUGGGAAACUUGAGUGCAGAAGAGGAGAGUGGAAUUCCACGUGUAGCGGUGAAAUGCGUAGAGAUGUGGAGGAACACCAGUGGCGAAGGCGACUCUCUGGUCUGUAACUGACGCUGAGGAGCGAAAGCGUGGGGAGCGAACAGGAUUAGAGACCCCAGUAGUCCCUGUCUCUUAUACA
Molecule: ribosomal RNA, 301 nt
Filed under: uncultured bacterium
Lineage: Bacteria
Description: partial 16S ribosomal RNA
Rfam family: Bacterial small subunit ribosomal RNA
Source: RNAcentral